RNAcentral lists this ribosomal RNA (426 nucleotides) under uncultured bacterium. RNAcentral's name for it is "bacterial SSU rRNA". It matches the Rfam family "Bacterial small subunit ribosomal RNA", at positions 28 to 447 of the family's 1533-position model. The record is from RNAcentral.
GACGAACGCUGGCGGCGCGCCUAACACAUGCAAGUCGAACGGAGUCAAGAGGAGCUUGCUUUUCUUGACUUAGUGGCGAACGGGUGAGUAACGCGUGAGUAACCUGCCCUGGAGUGGGGGACAACAGUUGGAAACGACUGCUAAUACCGCAUAAGCCCACGGAUCUGCAUGGAUCUGCGGGAAAAGGAUUUAUUCGCUCUAGGAUGGACUCGCGUCCAAUUAGCUAGUUGGUGAGGUAACGGCCCACCAAGGCGACGAUUGGUAGCCGGACUGAGAGGUUGAACGGCCACAUUGGGACUGAGACACGGCCCAGACUCCUACGGGAGGCAGCAGUGGGGGAUAUUGCACAAUGGGGGAAACCCUGAUGCAGCGACGCCGCGUGGAGGAAGAAGGUUUUCGGAUUGUAAACUCCUGUCGUUAGGGACG